This 1128-nucleotide ribosomal RNA is filed under the name Oenococcus oeni. RNAcentral's name for it is "bacterial SSU rRNA". It matches the Rfam family "Bacterial small subunit ribosomal RNA", at positions 1 to 1092 of the family's 1533-position model. Lineage: Bacteria; Bacillati; Bacillota; Bacilli; Lactobacillales; Lactobacillaceae. The record is from RNAcentral.
UUUAAAUUGAGAGUUUGAUCCUGGCUCAGGAUGAACGCUGGUGGCGUGCCUAAUACAUGCAAGUCGUACGCUAGCCGCUGAAUUGAUCCUUCGGGUGAAGUGAGGCAAUGACUAGAGUGGCGAACUGGUGAGUAACACGUAAGAAACCUGCCCUUUAGUGGGGGAUAACAUUUGGAAACAGAUGCUAAUACCGCGUAACAACAAAUCACACAUGUGAUCUGUUUGAAAGGUCCUUUUGGAUCGCUAGAGGAUGGUCUUGCGGCGUAUUAGCUUGUUGGUAGGGUAGAAGCCUACCAAGGCAAUGAUGCGUAGCCGAGUUGAGAGACUGGCCGGCCACAUUGGGACUGAGACACUGCCCAAACUCCUACGGGAGGCUGCAGUAGGGAAUUUUCCGCAAUGCACGAAAGUGUGACGGAGCGACGCCGCGUGUGUGAUGAAGGCUUUCGGGUCGUAAAGCACUGUUGUAAGGGAAGAAUAACUGAAUUCAGAGAAAGUUUUCAGCUUGACGGUACCUUACCAGAAAGGGAUGGCUAAAUACGUGCCAGCAGCCGCGGUAAUACGUAUGUCCCGAGCGUUAUCCGGAUUUAUUGGGCGUAAAGCGAGCGCAGACGGUUUAUUAAGUCUGAUGUGAAAUCCCGAGGCCCAACCUCGGAACUGCAUUGGAAACUGAUUUACUUGAGUGCGAUAGAGGCAAGUGGAACUCCAUGUGUAGCGGUGAAAUGCGUAGAUAUGUGGAAGAACACCAGUGGCGAAAGCGGCUUGCUAGAUCGUAACUGACGUUGAGGCUCGAAAGUAUGGGUAGCAAACGGGAUUAGAUACCCCGGUAGUCCAUACCGUAAACGAUGGGUGCUAGUUGUUAAGAGGUUUCCGCCUCCUAGUGACGUAGCAAACGCAUUAAGCACCCCGCCUGAGGAGUACGGCCGCAAGGCUAAAACUUAAAGGAAUUGACGGGGACCCGCACAAGCGGUGGAGCAUGUGGUUUAAUUCGAAGAUACGCGAAAAACCUUACCAGGUCUUGACAUACCAAUGAUCGCUUUUGUAAUGAAAGCUUUUCUUCGGAACAUUGGAUACAGGUGGUGCAUGGUCGUCGUCAGCUCGUGUCGUGAGAUGUUGGGUUAAGUCCCGCAA